CCUACGGGGGGCUGCAGUAGGGAAUCUUCCACAAUGGACGAAAGUCUGAUGGAGCAACGCCGCGUGAGUGAAGAAGGUUCUCGGAUCGUAAAACUCUGUUGUGAGGGAAGAACAAGUACCGGAGUAACUGCCGGUACCUUGACGGUACCUCAUUAGAAAGCCACGGCUAACUACGUGCCAGCAGCCGCGGUAAUACGUAGGUGGCAAGCGUUGUCCGGAAUCAUUGGGCGUAAAGCGCGCGCAGGCUGUCCCUUAAGUCUGAUGUGAAAGCCCCCGGCUCAACCGUGGAGGGUCAUUGGAAACUGGGGGACUUGAGUGCAGAAGAGGAAAGCGGAAUUCCAAGUGUAGCGGUGAAAUGCGUAGAGAUUUGGAGGAACACCAGUGGCGAAGGCGGCUUUCUGGUCUGUAACUGACGCUGAGGCGCGAAAGCGUGGGGAGCAAACAGGAUUAGAUACCCCAGUAGUC
This 465-nucleotide ribosomal RNA is filed under the name uncultured Caryophanaceae bacterium. RNAcentral describes it as "bacterial SSU rRNA". It matches the Rfam family "Bacterial small subunit ribosomal RNA", at positions 338 to 795 of the family's 1533-position model. The record is from RNAcentral. Lineage: Bacteria; Bacillati; Bacillota; Bacilli; Caryophanales; Caryophanaceae.